This 497-nucleotide ribosomal RNA is filed under the name uncultured bacterium. RNAcentral's name for it is "partial 16S ribosomal RNA". It matches the Rfam family "Bacterial small subunit ribosomal RNA", at positions 38 to 507 of the family's 1533-position model. The record is from RNAcentral.
GAAGAAAGAGGGAGGCGUGCCUAAUACAUGCAAGUUGAGCGAUGAAGAUUGGUGCUUGCACCAAUUUGAAGAGCAGCGAACGGGUGAGUAACGCGUGGGGAAUCUGCCUUUGAGCGGGGGACAACAUUUGGAAACGAAUGCUAAUACCGCAUAACAACUUUAAACAUAAGUUUUAAGUUUGAAAGAUGCAAUUGCAUCACUCAAAGAUGAUCCCGCGUUGUAUUAGCUAGUUGGUGAGGUAAAGGCUCACCAAGGCGAUGAUACAUAGCCGACCUGAGAGGGUGAUCGGCCACAUUGGGACUGAGACACGGCCCAAACUCCUACGGGAGGCAGCAGUAGGGAAUCUUCGGCAAUGGACGAAAGUCUGACCGAGCAACGCCGCGUGAGUGAAGAAGGUUUUCGGAUCGUAAAACUCUGUUGGUAGAGAAGAACGUUGGUGAGAGUGGAAAGCUCAUCAAGUGACGGUAACUACCCAGAAAGGGACGGCUAACUACGUG